Molecule: ribosomal RNA, 459 nt
Filed under: uncultured bacterium
Lineage: Bacteria
Description: bacterial SSU rRNA
Rfam family: Bacterial small subunit ribosomal RNA
Source: RNAcentral
GGGAGGCAGCAGUGAGGAACUUUGGACAAUGGGCGAAAGCCUGAUCCAGCAAUGCCGCGUGCAGGACGAAGGCCUUCGGGUUGUAAACUGCUUUUGUACGGAACGAAACGGUCUUUUCUAAUAAAGAGGGCUAAUGACGGUACCGUAAGAAUAAGCACCGGCUAACUACGUGCCAGCAGCCGCGGUAAUACGUAGGGUGCAAGCGUUAAUCGGAAUUACUGGGCGUAAAGCGUGCGCAGGCGGUUAUAUAAGACAGAUGUGAAAUCCCUGGGCUCAGCCUAGGACCUGCAUUUGUGACUGUAUAGCUAGAGUACGGUAGAGGGGGAUGGAAUUCCGCGUGUAGCAGUGAAAUGCGUAGAUAUGCGGAGGAACACCGAUGGCGAAGGCAAUCCCCUGGACCUGUACUGACGCUCAUGCACGAAAGCGUGGGGAGCAAACAGGAUUAGAUACCCUGGUAGC